RNAcentral lists this ribosomal RNA (480 nucleotides) under Cellulosimicrobium cellulans. RNAcentral's name for it is "bacterial SSU rRNA". It matches the Rfam family "Bacterial small subunit ribosomal RNA", at positions 259 to 750 of the family's 1533-position model. Lineage: Bacteria; Bacillati; Actinomycetota; Actinomycetes; Micrococcales; Promicromonosporaceae. The record is from RNAcentral.
ACGGGUUUGCCUCAUGCGACGACGGGUAGCCGGCCUGAGAGGGCGACCGGCCACACUGGGACUGAGACACGGCCCAGACUCCUACGGGAGGCAGCAGUGGGGAAUAUUGCACAAUGGGCGAAAGCCUGAUGCAGCGACGCCGCGUGAGGGAUGAAGGCCUUCGGGUUGUAAACCUCUUUCAGCAGGGAAGAAGCGCAAGUGACGGUACCUGCAGAAGAAGCGCCGGCUAACUACGUGCCAGCAGCCGCGGUAAUACGUAGGGCGCAAGCGUUGUCCGGAAUUAUUGGGCGUAAAGAGCUCGUAGGCGGUUUGUCGCGUCUGGUGUGAAAACUCGAGGCUCAACCUCGAGCUUGCAUCGGGUACGGGCAGACUAGAGUGCGGUAGGGGAGACUGGAAUUCCUGGUGUAGCGGUGGAAUGCGCAGAUAUCAGGAGGAACACCGAUGGCGAAGGCAGGUCUCUGGGCCGCAACUGACGCUGAG